UCUCCGUAGGUGAACCUGCGGAGGGAUCAUUACAGAGUUCAUGCCCUAACGGGUAGAUCUCCCACCCUAUGUUAUCAUCACUUUGUUGCUUUGGCGGGCCGUCAGGCCUCGGCUUGGCUUCAGGCUCUCGCUGGUAAGCUCCCACCAGAGAACCCUAUACACUGAAUAUCAGUGUCGUCUGAUUACUAUAUAAUAGUUAAAACUUUCAACAACGGAUCUCUUGGUUCUG
RNAcentral lists this unclassified non-coding RNA (229 nucleotides) under plant metagenome. Its description in RNAcentral is "partial contains small subunit ribosomal RNA, internal transcribed spacer 1, and 5.8S ribosomal RNA". The record is from RNAcentral.